GGCGUUGUAGCAAAGUGGUUACUGCGAUUGACUAGAAUCGCCAUCCCGGCAUUGCUAUCAAUUCCCUUCGGGGGCGUAGGUUCGAAUCCGUAUGUUCGACGCUG
Pseudocercospora fijiensis CIRAD86 is the source of this 104-nucleotide non-coding RNA. Lineage: Eukaryota; Fungi; Ascomycota; Dothideomycetes; Mycosphaerellales; Mycosphaerellaceae. The record is from the annotation of a RefSeq genome assembly.